UGGGGAAUUUUGGACAAUGGGGGAAACCCUGAUCCAGCCAUCCCGCGUGUGCGAUGAAGGCCUUCGGGUUGUAAAGCACUUUUGGCAGGAAAGAAACGUCAUGGGUUAAUACCCCGUGAAACUGACGGUACCUGCAGAAUAAGCACCGGCUAACUACGUGCCAGCAGCCGCGGUAAUACGUAGGGUGCAAGCGUUAAUCGGAAUUACUGGGCGUAAAGCGUGCGCAGGCGGUUCGGAAAGAAAGAUGUGAAAUCCCAGAGCUCAACUUUGGAACUGCAUUUUUAACUACCGGGCUAGAGUGUGUCAGAGGGAGGUGGAAUUCCGCGUGUAGCAGUGAAAUGCGUAGAUAUGCGGAGGAACACCGAUAGCGAAGGCAGCCUCCUGGGAUAACACUGACGCUCAUGCACGAAAGCGUGGGGAGCAAACAGG
Molecule: ribosomal RNA, 429 nt
Filed under: Acidobacteriota bacterium
Lineage: Bacteria; Pseudomonadati; Acidobacteriota
Description: Acidobacteria bacterium partial 16S ribosomal RNA
Rfam family: Bacterial small subunit ribosomal RNA
Source: RNAcentral